This 253-nucleotide ribosomal RNA is filed under the name uncultured bacterium. RNAcentral describes it as "partial 16S ribosomal RNA". It matches the Rfam family "Bacterial small subunit ribosomal RNA", at positions 524 to 776 of the family's 1533-position model. The record is from RNAcentral.
UACGGAGGGUGCAAGCGUUGUUCGGAAUUAUUGGGCGUAAAGAGCUUGUAGGCGGUCUGUCGCGUCUGCUGUGAAAAUCCGGGGCUCAACCCCGGACUUGCAGUGGGUACGGGCAGACUAGAGUGUGGUAGGGGAGACUGGAAUUCCUGGUGUAGCGGUGGAAUGCGCAGAUAUCAGGAGGAACACCGAUAGCGAAGGCAGCUCGCUGGGACGGUACUGACGCUGAGGUGCGAAAGCGUGGGGAGCGAACAGG